AGUGAACGCUGGCGGUAGGCCUAACACAUGCAAGUCGAACGGCAGCACAGUAAGAGCUUGCUCUUACGGGUGGCGAGUGGCGGACGGGUGAGGAAUACAUCGGAAUCUACUUUUUCGUGGGGGAUAACGUAGGGAAACUUACGCUAAUACCGCAUACGACCUACGGGUGAAAGCAGGGGAUCUUCGGACCUUGCGCGAUUGAAUGAGCCGAUGUCGGAUUAGCUAGUUGGCGGGGUAAAGGCCCACCAAGGCGACGAUCCGUAGCUGGUCUGAGAGGAUGAUCAGCCACACUGGAACUGAGACACGGUCCAGACUCCUACGGGAGGCAGCAGUGGGGAAUAUUGGACAAGGGGCGCAAGCCUGAUCCAGACAUACCGCGUGGGUGAAGAAGGCCUUCGGGUUGUAAAGCCCUUUUGUUGGGAAAGAAAAGCAGCAGGUUAAUACCCCGCUGUUCUGACGGUACCCAAAGAAUAAGCACCGGCUAACUUCGUG
This 492-nucleotide ribosomal RNA is filed under the name uncultured bacterium. RNAcentral describes it as "partial 16S ribosomal RNA". It matches the Rfam family "Bacterial small subunit ribosomal RNA", at positions 29 to 507 of the family's 1533-position model. The record is from RNAcentral.